AGCUGGAGGGGACCCCUGCUAGUGGGGAGAGGGGAGCUCCGUCCUCCUGCCCUAUUCACUCAGCCUCCGGGCUGAGCCUGCCAGCAAAGGGAGCUGCGGCGUGCCAGUUGUGGGGAUGGAGUUAAUGAUGCAGGCACCUGUCCACCAAGAACUGGGCUGAGACAGACCAACCUGUCUGUUUACAUGCAUGGCCUCCAUUACCAGAGGGCCUGAGGGCCUCACAGUUGGUCAUGUAUUUGUCCUCACGGCACCCCCGUUCAGGGCUGUUCUCUCCCAGUUACAGAUCAGGGAGCUGAGGCACAGGGAAAUCGACUGACUCACCCAGUGGCAGAGCCGGGUGGGACUUAAACGUCCUAACCUUCAUUUCACACAGGCCACCAAAGAGCCCUCAAAUGGCACCAACUUGAAGUCCUCAUCAGCCUAGGCUGGAUUCAGGCUGGGGAGGUGACCAUGAAAAGCUCCCUCUCUCUCUGACCCAGCCAGCCCUUCCCCUCCACCCAUGUAAAACCCAGCGUGAGCCCUCUGAGAGGUGGCCGGCUCCGUUUGUUUUAAUGAGAUUUUGUAUCUUUGGAGAGCGCAAUCCCCUUAGAGAGGUUGGGUUGACCCGAUCAUGGGUAAACGUUGUCCCCCAGCUGGUUUAUGUCCCUUGAUCGGGUAUUUGUUUGAAUGGAUUUCACUGAGCUUUCUGGGCAGGAAAAUAAUCUCCUCCUAAAGCUUAGCCAGCCUGCAGGUUGGCGCUGUAGUAAGCCAGGGGGUGGUAGGCAUGCUUAUGCCGAGGUCUGCCUAGGAGAGCCCUCCCUCCACCUCCCUGCCAGGGAAUGAGCCUGUGAGGAGGAGACUGACGAGUCUGCCAAGCUGCCCUAGCACAAGACAUUGCUAUACAAACACUGGUUUUGAUCCUGAGCUCACUUCUCCAGCGCUAGCUGAGGAAGGAGAGUUGCAGCUGACUCAUAACCCCUGGGGUUUGGAAGAUCCAGGCCGGAUCACCGAGCAGAGGAAUAUUUGACCCAUCUCUUGGGCCUUCCAUCUAAGGGCAUCACAAAGCCCUUUACAAACAUUAACUAAUGAAAUUAAAUCUCUCAACCCUUCCUCCUACCUUGUGGCAGAUAUUAUUGUUUUCCCCAGUUUACAAAUGGGGCUACUGAAGUCUAGGAGAUCCAGUGACUUGACCAAGGUGUCAGGACCAGGGAUAGAACCCAGGAGUCCUAGCUCCCAGACCCCAGCUGUAACUGCUGUGCUUCACUGUAAUGAUCCAUUAUGUAAGCUGAUUUUAUGUAUGGCUAAUCGGUUUACAAACCACAGCUUGCUUUUCUUCCUCCUGGGAGAUCUCUCUGACCAGCAGCAGUUCUGGGAUGACGAGCUGUCUGUCUGUCUGAGGAGCAUUAAACACAUGGCCGACUUACGCUUCAGAAAAGUGACUGAGCUUUCACCCUGUGGCGUGGUUCCCCUGCACCACCCCUGCUUUAAUGAAAGGCUGUAGGAGGGAGGGGAUGCUUCCCAGCGGGAGGGGAGAGUGGAGGACCCACCCUCAGGUCAGAGGACUCAGUACUCCAACUUUGGACCUGGCUGCGCUUGGGAGAUGGAGCAGAAGGGAGAAGACAGCCUGGGAGCAAGGUGCAUGAAAAGGGCCAUUUAGGUGCAGAGCCCAGGUUGAGGGAGAUGAAGGACCAAAAUAAGGGGGUUGGGGAGAAAUAGCGACAUCCAAAAUGGAGCUGUUCAGAGAAAGCCCUGAUACGCAGCUGUGAUACGCAGCCGGGCAGAUGUUACACAUCUGGGAAGGCAGUACGGUGCCAGAGGGCUUGAUUCAAAGCUCUUUGCCCUGCCUUCGCUGGGCUUUGGAUCAGGUCAGGAGAGCACCAUGCAGCAAUGUGGCAUGUUUGGCCCUGUAGGUGCGCCCAAGCCCAGCCUGACGUGUUUGGGGCAGGUUUGGGCUGUACUGUCAUGCGGGUCGGAGCAUGAUGGGGUGGAGAUUGGUAGCCAUGGACUUGUAUUCGAGGAAGGGAGCGGGUAAUUCAGAGAGUGACCAUGCCUCUGUGGUUCUCUGCAGGUGCCCGAGUUAUGCUGAUGAGGGCUCCGCACUAAGGCUGGCAGAGAGACAUGAGUAACGACACGGGCCAGCGCACCGCAAUCUUCGUGGUUCUCUUUGCUUUGAUCAUGCUGCUGAUCAUCUACAGCUCGAACAGCGGGAACGAAGUUUUUCACUACACUGCCCUGCGGGGGAAAUCCCACCGUCCCCCCAACUUCAGGAAAUGGGGGGUGAAAAGUGGAUACCUCCCCAUCUAUGGAAACAAGACCCUGAAUUCCCAUUGCCACCGGUGUGUGAUCAUCACCAGCUCCAGCCACCUGCUUGGGAGCAAACUGGGCUCAGAGAUCGACCAAUCGGAGUGCGUCAUCCGCAUGAACGACGCCCCCACCACCAGCUAUGAGGCAGACGUGGGCAACAAGACCACGGUCCGGGUGGUGGCUCACUCCAGCGUCUACAGGGUGCUGAAGAGGCCACAAGAGUUCGUCAACAAGACCCCGGAGACCAUCCUCAUCUUCUGGGGGCCGCCCAGCAAGAUGCAGAAGAGCCUGCUCAAGAUCCUCCAGCGCGUCAGCAUGUCCUUCCCCAACAUGUCGGCCUACGUGGUCUCCCCCGGGCGCAUGAAGCAGUUCGACGACUUGUUCCGGGGAGAGACCGGGAAGGACAGGGAGAAGUCCCGGUCGUGGCUGAGCACAGGCUGGUUCACCAUGGUGAUCGCCGUGGAGCUGUGUGACAAGGUGCAUGUUUACGGGAUGGUCCCCCCUAACUACUGCAGCAGGAGACCUCAGCCCGGCAAGAUGGCAUAUCACUACUACGAGCCCAAGGGCCCGGACGAGUGCACCACCUACAUCCACAAUGAGCGCAGCCACAAGGGCAACCACCACCGCUUCAUCACGGAGAAACGGGUCUUUGCCAGCUGGGCCAGCCUCUACAACAUCACCUUCUCCCACCCGGCCUGGGACUAGGGGCUCCCCGAGGAGACAUGGAGCCAUUCGAGUGCCCAACCCAGCAGCUGGUGCCAGUAGUGGGAUAACUCCACCUGGAUGGGAAAACAUCUCUUGGAUUAACCCUGUGAGCCAGGCUGGGCUCUGAGGGAGGAGGCCCCACACUACAGGCUGUCCAGGGCCAGAAGGCCUGGGUGAGGGGAGGAAGGGACUGGCACGGUGCCAGUGACCUGACCUGCAGUCCCAAGGCCCAGGGAGUCCUGCUACGCACCGGGCACUGCUGGAUUCAUGGUGUCCCCUUCCCCCCGACAGGCCACACACCUAGUGCACAUCGCUGGCUCCCUGCUUUGAGGUCACCUCACUCCCUUGCCGGCGAUCGGCUCAGAGGCCCGAGAGUGAGUGGGAACAAUCACUGGCGUCCCAGAUGGAACGGCCGACCCCUACUUAGUGCUCUGGGUGGCGGCUCUGGUCUCGCCUCUCUUGGCUUCUGGAGAAUGUAUUUCCGAGGUGGGAGGACUGUAACCCUCUCAGCUCUGCUAGGCUCAGCUUGAUACUGAGUACCCGGAAGGGUAUAUCUGCUGUGCAGUGCGACCCUGCUCCAGGCAGCCUCUGCCUUGGGAAACUGCCGCCUGCGUCUCCAAGUUUCCAGUGAGGCCUAUAAGACACCAGCCUCUGGGGCGGAGACUUCUCAGGGCAGUUCUCGUGAAUUCCUGCUUUCCUGCUGCUGCUUCUGGGACCAUUGGCACUGCCUCCCCAACACGCACACCUCUUGCCAAUGAAACGUCUGCACAGGGAGAGCGAGUGGCCAUGUGGUAAGAGAGGGCAGCAAUACUGUGGAAGUGGAAAUUAUACCCUCAGCAUCUCAAACCAGGAGCACUUUUCGCUGCCUCCCGUGUUCUGUCUGUCUGAUCGCUGUUCUGCCUGGCUGCCUCUGACCCCUGCCACUGGAUCUGUUAUGCCCCAGGUUACUGAGAGCUUAAAUUAAGAUGUUGAGACUUGAUAGUAAGCACUGAUCAUGACUGCAUGGGAGGGGUCUCCACUCCGUGCUUGCUGCACACGGCUGCUUCCGUGUACACGCACAGCUGAGGGGACCGUGUGUGGGUGUCAGACAUGGCUCUGUUCUUAGUGUAGAUCCCCUUAGGCUUGAUCCCUGUUGCCUCAGGGUAGAGUAGGUGUGAAAUGCUCCUGUUAUGGUUUGGAGUUACUCAGUUCUGGGGGAAAUCAUAGGACUGGCAGGGAGCUUGAGAGUCAGCUGGUCCAGUCCCCUGCACUCAUGGCAGGACUAAGUGUUCUUUAGACCAUCCCUGACAGGUGUUUGUCUAACCUGCUCUUAAAUGACAGCACAAGGUGUAGGCAAUGCAGAAUCAUGGAUUGAGAUUAAUAGAUUUGGGCCCCUUGUGUUUACUCCCACGCUCUCCCUCUGUCCUGCUCUCAUAGCCCCAGCCCACAUCUGCCAUUUCUCAUGGUCAUUUUCCCUCUCUGCCUUCCCCAGCAAUUCAGGGGCUGCAUGAAAGGUGCACUUCAGCUUGGGGCCAUCAGCUGCUUUCUAGUCACCCACCAGGUUGGGUUUUGCCCUUCCCUGGUCCUCGGCAAUAGCUGCUGAAAAUCUCCAAGUUACAAAAACAAACACUAAAAGCCUGCAGUAUUUUUUUUAACUGCCCAAAACACGGUGGGCCAGAUCCUCGCUCAAGCAAAACUCCCCUCUGCAACCAGUGGGACGUUUGUCUGGGGCAGGGCUGCAGGAUUGGGCCCUGGAGUAACCUGACUGUGAACUGGUUACAGCGCAGGGGCCUGACUCUGAUCCCGUGUCCACCAGGGUGAAUCAGCAGCCAGCCUGCUCAAGCUGAACCAGGGUAAAUGAGGUCAGACUCCAGCCCCGUGUCUGUAGAAUACGGCAGCAUUUUCUUUGAAAACAAGGGAGAGACUGAUAGACGUGCCGGAGGAAAAACCAUCAGCUCUGUGCUCCACCUCUGGGGGUUGAAUGGGGGCACAUCUCCCCGCAGCAGAGAAAUUCUCCACGCAGCCCUGGAGUGGAAUUGCAUCGUGGCUGUGAGAGCUGGGAGCAGAUCCCCCCCACCCCCUAUUACUCUGACACCCACAGGUGGGAAUGGCCCUUGUGCAGUUGUCUUGAUCAUGGCUGGUAUCGCAAGCGGUGACUCCCGCCCUGCACUUUGGGAGGGGAACACAGGCAGGAGCGUGAUGGCAAGGAGGUGGGAAGGGGACCUUGAAACUUACAAAUGCCCCUUGGUGGAGAAAAUGCCUUUCCCCCCCCCCCCCACCCCGCAGAAGAUCAGCUAAAUCUAUAUCCACUGACAUGAACAAACUCUGCUCUUGGUUACUACAGUCAAUGGAGAUGCUCUGGAUUUACACCAGUGUGACUGAGCCUCGUGUGACCCCUGAUAGUCAGGACACAGGAAGCAAACUGUGCCCAGCAGUGUGUCACCAGCUGUGACCUCGCUGGGCACCAUGGUGCCUAUUCUACACAUCACUGCCACCCUAGAGGAUGUAGCUUUGGAAAAGACUCCACAGCCAGUGGAGAAGUCCUGGCCACCCUUCCGCACAAAGGCUAUGGAGCUGCUACUUUCCCACCAUAGCCAGGACCUUUGGGGGUGUUCGAAGCGACACGGUUGAGAUGUUUUGGGUGGGGGGGAGGGAGUGGGUUUUUCCCCCCUGGUCCUUGUAUUUGUAUCGGUGUCCUAAAAUAGUUGUGUUAAUAUAUUUUAAAAACCACUUCACAAGAAGCAGGGUGAGAUAUGGAGGCUUAGAGGCAAACCCAACUGGGUGCCUGGUACCUGCAGCUCCACUGAUGUCAGCUUGCCAGUCUGACCCCCAUCUACAUCACUGGGAGUCAUGGGUGCUCAGCACCCGUGUGGGCCAGGCCAGGCCUUCAAAGGGAUCGAAUGCUGUUAGGUGCCUUGCUCCCCUAAUGUGUUUUGGACCCUUUGGAAAGCCCAGCCGUACAUGUUGUACUGUGCUGGCAAAUUCUGCAAAACCCGAUAGGGUUCUGGAGAAUGCAGUAAAGGAAGUAGGGUUGUUCCCCUUUUGGUUUGAUUUUCUCUUUGCUGCUACUCUUCUGUGCUUCUGUAAACAGCCGAUCUGCUUAAACUCCUCCACGAAUGAUCCUUUGAACAGAACUGUCAAGUCGCUCGGCUGGGUAGCCCCUAUAAAAAUCAGUCACUCUUGAAUAUAAAAUUGCAUUUAUAAAGGGUUAAUAAAUGAUUAAUAGAAGCCUGUUCUGUACACAAGUAGCAUGAAUUAGAAGCAGAUCAGUAGAAGGCAUAUGUAUAGUAAUGAGCCCUGGUUAUAAGCAACCUAUUAGGCUCUCUAAUAACCAUGGCGUAGCCAUUUAUGAGCACAUCUGUUAAUCAUUUAUUAACCCUUUAUAAACUAUACAUGGAACCUGGAUAGAAAAUGUGAUGUAAAUACCUGGAUGGUAACAUAACAGCAUGUGGUUGUACCAUUUAAUGGGAGACGUUUGCUAUAAAAAUAACUAGCAAUGCAAAUAAAUGGGGUGCUGAGGUUUGCUUCCCCCCCCCACCUCUCUCCAUUGCUUGGGCUGUGGAAGAACUUGGCAAUGCAGUUUCUUCCCCUCCCAGUUCCAUCCUUUCCCAGCUGGCAAGCGGAGCCAUUUUCCAGUGUUUUGAAUGGCUCUCGACACUGCCUCUUGAUUUAACAGUAGCAUUAACCUCUGUGGCACCUUAUCUGACCACAACAUCCUUUUUUGUACAGGAGCUGCACGGAUGGUGUCACAACAGCAUGGGGGAAAGCAUUUGUUCAUUUGCUCCUGCUGCAGUGCAGGCAGCCAGAGGAACAUGUGAUGUUUUGCUUGUAGAUCCACAGAUAGUGACUACUGGCUUUUUUUUUUCUUCUUCCCUUUUUAAUCAAUUUUUCAGUCCUGGAUUUAAAAAACCAAACACAUGGGGGUACUAAGAAUCCAAUUGGCUUAUGUUCAAACGCAGCCUGACAGGACUCCUGGAUUCUGUUCUUGAUGCUGCAGCCUCCCCGUGCCUCAGUUUCCCACCGGUCAAAGGGGAGUUAUGAUCGUAAUAGAGCUCACAGGGGCAUUGUGAGGCUUAAUUCACUGUGUGAGAUCCUCACAUACAUGGUGUGCAAAGGUUUCUUAGAGCCUGGUUAGAUUAUACCAAUGUAAAAGUGUUCAUUGUUGAGCCUAGACUACCUGCCAGAGCCCCUUUAAGGGGUUCAAAUACUAGAAUGCCCAGGCUUGGAUGAUUUAGUUUAGAGGUUUUUAAGGUCAGGCUUGACAAAGCCCUGGCUGGGAUGAUUUAGUUGGGUUUGGUCCUGCUUUGAGCAGGGGGGUUGGACUAGAUACCUCCUGAGGUCCCUUCCAACUCUGAGAUUCUAUGAUUCUAAAGGAGCACAAUCACUCUGUGCCGGAUCCUCAGCUCAGCUAGCCUGGGGGCAGGCCCUCUCUGACUGCAGGUCCCCUCACUCAGCACGGAGGCCCGGAUCCUCGUGAGCUGCUGUGAAGUGUCAGCAUAACACAUCUGGUAGCCUGGACCUGUGUUACUGCUUCCUAGGGACCCCCUGUAUCUGGGAUUGUCUCAAAUCAGCAAGGAGUGAAUGUUUUGUAACGAUUUGUAGGGGAAUAAAUAUUGCUAUGA
This is an RNA transcript of Mauremys mutica (yellowpond turtle), 7589 nucleotides long. It is a transcript of the gene named ST6 N-acetylgalactosaminide alpha-2,6-sialyltransferase 6, with no coding region annotated. The record is from RefSeq and is a predicted model, not a curated record. NCBI's taxonomy places the organism in Eukaryota, Metazoa, Chordata, Testudines, Geoemydidae. The transcript has 6 exons.